UGAGUCAUUCGUUGGCCGUUGCUAUAAUAGACCGAGCCGAUGUGAUGCGUAUCGCAGCAGCAGCGAUGAUCUAAUCAGUCUGCAAUUGGCUUUGAAAAAAAAGGAGGAGAAAAACGAACAAAGCGGAAUCAGUCAAUAAGGAACUUUUGGUGAGUGAAGAAAGAUAGAGGGUAGCUUAGUAGUGUGCGUCCCAGCAGUAAUAGCGAUAUAUAGUAUACACGGACGGACGGACGGACGCUCUCAUCCUUGCGCGCGCGCAAUCUCUCUUCAUCAAGACGCGCCCGCGAUGGUAUAGAUGAUGAUCUAUAUCGGGUGGAGAGGGGUGUAGUAGUAGCCGGCCCCGAACACUGGCGCGCUCUGACGGGUCUGUACCGCAAUCCCGAGCCACCGAGAAAUACGCCACAGUGCACAUGCGUAACAUGUCGGUAGCUUAUUUUCCCCUCCAGACUCCCGUCUGAAGGAGAGAUUUUCAGAGGGAGGGAGAUGGCGUAGGGAUUCGUUCGUGUUGAGUAAGGAGAGGGAGGAGGCGGUGUACACGACGGGGUGGCGGUGGUAUAGUCAUGUAUAGUGUAUAGCUAGAGGGGAGGGGAUAAAGGCCAAAAGUGAACGAACGACGUUAUAUUCCGGCGACGCCGACGUCUGCCGCUAGAACUGUGCCGAUCCGCGCUAGCGGAUGAACGCGGGAUUACGACCGCCGCGUCCAAUAAACAACAAGAGGCAAAACUGGCGUGACACACACAAGCGUCGCUGCCUCUGCCGCCCGUCGCCGCCAACAUUUUGAGAAUUUUUUUCCCCAGUUGUGUGUCUCGUGUUUGUGUGCCCGUCAGUUUUUGUGCGCCCAUCGUCUCUCGUCGUCGCCGGAUGAGAUCCAACGUGACGCCGAGUGGCCAUUCAUCAUCAUCUGGAACAUUCAUCACUCGGCAGAGGACAAGACAAAAAUAACAAUAAUAUUAAUACUUAAGCGGUCCCUGGCGACCGGCGUCGCCAAAAAAGUUUCGGCAACCCAGUGCUUUUGAAUCCUCUAAAAACGUUGGCAAAUUCAAUCAUUCAUUCAUGCCGGGAAUUAUCGUCUUCCAGCGGAGAUGGGGCGUCGGCAGCGACGAUCUGGUUGUUCCCGGAAUCUCAUUGACUUUACUCCACGCCAUUUGGUUGAUUGUGGUUGCGGUCACGCUGGGACUUGACAACGGAUCCGUCGGUCAUGUUCGCAACACUGGGAACAUUAGCAGCAGCAGCAGCGAAACAAGCGACACUAUCGGCGUCCGGUUCAGCAACGAGUCGUUUCUACUGUCGCUGGCCAACCAGAGCAAUGCUGAGGACGACGCUUGGUCCUCUUCCGCCAGCGGUGACGGCGGCCAUGGUGGUGACGAUGAGGAAGUGGUCGUUGUCGCUGAGCUGCACGCACUGCAAGAAGAUCACGCCUGCGAAAGUGUUCUACGACUCUUGCUCAUCAUCAAAACGGCCCUUUUGGGCGUUUCGCUCCUGCUGGAAAUUUUCAUGGCCCGACUAGCGUUACGCGGAACCAUGUGGGACGUCCAUCCACGCCGCUUUAUGGAGUACGUGCUCUACAGUCGAUUACUGGUUUUAGUGGCCGAAAUGGUUUGGUCGUCGUUUAGCAUCGUGUGGCUCCACGGCUCUUACAUCACGUGUCCGGCAGGAAUGGAAAAAGAAGUUCUCUUAGGUUCGGUUAUUUGCGAUUUGUGCGUGGCGUUGAGCGUGCUCAUCACCAUUUGGUGCACGUUUGACCGGGCCGGACGCUCUUGGGUCAAGAUGACGCGCUUCCAGCGGAGCAUGAAAGAAGGCGAGACGAAAUACCACUACAAACGAUCGGGAAAUCACAGACCCAACUGGAGACAGAGGAAAGUGAUGAGGACUUACCAGGACACGUGGAAUCAUCGAUGCAAGAUCCUCUUCUGCUGCAUGGGUCGUUCUGAUCAAUACCAGGACUCCUUUUCGGAAAUCGCCCGACUGCUGACGGAUUUCUUCCGGGACCUGGAUCUCGUGCCGACUGACAUUGUAGCCGGUCUGGUUUUACUCAGGAAACAACAGAAGAAGUUACAAGAGACACUCGUUACCCAGGACCAGAACGACAUUUACGAGUUCUUGUCGGGAGUGGCCGUCACUUCACGGACACGCUUCCUUUCCUUGCACGAACCCGACCAACUGGAAGCUUUCCAAUUGACGGAACAUUAUAUGAAAUUCGCCCUGGCUGCUUAUGGCUGGCCCAUGUACCUGCUAGGCCAUUCCAAGACGGGAUUGUGCCGCCUGGUAUCUAACAUUAGGUGUUGCUGCUGUUGUGGAAGUGGUUCGACAGGCUCGUCGGAGAGUGGCGAAACUCUACCCGUCAUUGUGGGAGACACGUGCAGUGGUUGUCACCUGGCAGCGCUGAAACAAUCCAUCGGCCGCGUUGAUCACGAAGUCAUUUUCGCUUCCUUCCACGUCGACGUAGCGGAAACGCCUUUUUUCGUCGCCAUUGACUACGACCACCAGAGCGUCGUGGUCAGCAUUCGAGGCACCAUCAGCAUGAAGGACGUGAUAACGGAUCUUCACGCCGAAGCGGAACCCAUUCCUCUCCAGUUAACACGAGAAGACUGGUUUGGACACAAGGGUAUGGUGCAAACCGCCACAUACAUUCGCAACAAGUUGGAGAAGGAGAAUUUGCUAGGAAAAGCGUUUGCUCACAAUCCGGAAAGAGGCACGCCGGAUUUUCGUCUGGUUCUAGUCGGUCACUCUUUAGGCGCUGGAACGGCAGCUAUUUUGGCUUUGCUACUCCGCCACGAGUAUCCCCAUGUUCACUGCUACGCCUAUUCACCACCCGGCGGACUAUUAAGUUUACCGGCAGCUGAAUUCACAAAAGAGUUUGUGACAUCCAUCGUCGUUGGCAAAGAUGUCGUCCCUCGGCUGGGUCUCCAUCAGCUGGAAACUUUGAGGUCCAGUCUGAUGACGGCAAUCAACAAGAGCACGAAUCCGAAAUGGAAAAUUCUGGGUUCCAGCAUGCUGUGCUGCGGACGGCGGAAUAAAGAUGCCUCUGUCAAAAUUUCCAACAGUCCAGUCGUUUCGAUCGAAGAAGGAGGCGGCGGCGGUUCAAAAGACGUGCCUUCCACAACAGCCGUCCUAACGAAACAUCCAUCCGAUACUAAUAUCUCCCUGUCGACUCAUCAGCCACUGUAUCCGCCCGGCCGCAUCAUUCACAUCGUUAGGCAACAUCCAAAAGCAUCCGACAGAUCGGAACGAAGCUCCGGUUGUCCAGCGACGACCAAAGAUGACCAGCCGGAUCCUAUUUACCAGGCUUUGUGGGCCGACACUAUCGAUUUCAACGAGGUACUCAUCUCUCCCGUCAUGGUCCACGAUCACAUGCCCGACACCGUCCUCAGCGCCAUCAACAAGGUGCUGAGGCACGAGAAGCAGCUGGCCGAGUAUCAGAGGCAAAUCGUCUCCUCCCGCGUGCCUUGUUCAACCACCAACGUGUAGAGCGAGAUGGCGGCCAGAAUCCGUAGUAGGUCCCACUCCCACCUUCCAACAACCAUGCACCGCCCGUCCGUCUUUCACGUAGAGGACAAUGCCGUCUUUCAGUUUCUCGAUUCCUACCUCUUUUAUUUGGGAUUGUUUUCAUUUCGGCGGAUGGCCACUUGUUAUGAUGUCCGAGCUUCACUCUUCCGUCCUUAAUGCUUCGACAAGUGAAGAGUUCAUCCUGCCCAUCCCAUCCCAGGUUCUCUCGUGUCAUGGGCCGUCCAAACCUCAACGAGUCACGUCGGAACCUCUAUUGAAGGAUGACCAAGCCGAUUACCAACCGGGCCUGAUCGUCGACGGUUCUCUUCUGACGGCAGCCAGCUUUACUCCGUCGCCAGUGAUGAUGCCGCAGCAUUCCUUUUUGGAAAACAAUAGCUUGACGUCGAUCGACCGGAGUCCCACCAUUGGCCAGCGAUCGCCCGACGCCAAAGAAACGCCUUACUCCAGUAGCGUUCCUGCCAAUUCUUGCUACAUGUUGCAACCGCCUUCGUGGAUGAAUCCGCAAGUCCGGCGAGCCACAACUAGUAACUUACCGGCCAUGUCAGCAGCCGGCUGGAACUUUAAUCCUCUUCAACACUAUCCAGUCGAUGGCGAGGACCUGGUUUCAGAGUACAGUAAUCGAUUAGUGGCGCCAAUCGCCACUCCCGAGACACUCUCCGGAGAAUCCGCCAACGGGUCCGUCUCCAGUCUUGCCAAGAGGGCGCACAAAUUCCUGAGGAGAGAUAGAGCUGCAUCUGUUACCAAGAGAAAGGAUUUACCAAAACAGUACAGUGGAAGUAGUUCAAGUGUGUACGAAAUGACCGAGUCAAGCAGCGUCUAUUGUGCAUCUCCGUUGAGCAGCGCCAAAACGACCAGUGGACAGACGCGGGCCACAAGGGCGCAGUUGAAGCGAGAAAUUAUGCGACUCUACCAGAGAGCCGCUGCCGAUGUGGAUAAGAUUGAGCAAACGCCGUCAGCCGAGCAGGAUCCCAGUUCAACUAGCAGCCACACAUCACGGACGACAAGUAGUUCAAGUCAAUCACAGCCGUCGCGAUUGUUUCCCGUUUUGGAACCAGCGUCGCCGGUCUUUGGCGGUGGAAACGGAAGCAAUUCUGACAGUCACAGCGGCUACGCUUUGAGCCCUGUCGCGUCACGCCCAGCGACCGCUAAUGGUGCUACCGAUCGAAGGCUGUCACCUUCGAGUAGACCCAAUUUGCCUCCAUGUAACACGUCAUUUUAAAGGCGAAAAACAUUCAUUUAGCUCUAAAUAAAUAAAUAAAGAUCAAAGCCAGAUAUGGUUGAAAGCUCCCAGAUCUCAAAUCGAGGAAAAUAAAUCAGCUUUUUCCGACAGGAGUAAAAAGAAAACAAAAACAAAAUUAGGUUGAACGAAGAGCUCCUCUAACACCGAUUGAAUAACGCUAUCGGAGAUGUGUUUACACAAUCCUUAAGGACGAGAAAUGCCUGGAAAUAAUAAAUAAGAGAGGAAAGACGGGGAAAUCGAGCUUGGAAUGAAAUGGAUUGCUACGAGAUUGCAGAAGCAUGACACUUCCAAUCUCUUUUGCCCAACGUCGCGAGAAGAUUGAGUUUCGAUCGGAUUGCAAGGAUCUGCAGCACGUCACCAAGACAAGGCCAGCUGGAAUAAGAUCAGUAGAACUGCAGAUCCCAGGAGCUAACAUUGACACAUUCCCUGUUACCCCUUUUUUUUUCCUUCUAGCAUCUUUUCCGCUUUUUUUUGCUACUCUACCUAGUCGAGGAGGUCCUGUUGGAUGGAUGGAAGUUGGAUGAAGGGAAGAUACUCCCAAGGUUCCAAUUGUUUCUCGACAGCUGUAUCGAUGAUUGUGUUCAUCUAAUCGUUUUGUCAUCGACCGUUUUUCAGUUGGCGUUGAUCUUGUCUCCCUCCGUUUACUUGUUACACGUCACAAAGUUUUACCGUUCCAGUAUGACGCCAAUCCUCUUCCUUCGUCCUUUUCGACUGCCUGUUCAGAACAACUGCCCUGCUGUGAACAAUUGAUUGAAUCAUCGUUUACGGUUAGCUUUUCUUGUGUUUACAUCUGUAAGAUUUCUGUUCCAAUUGUUUCCUGUAUUGCACAGACAUGUAGACACAAUGUAUACAUCCAUCACAGACACAGACACACCCACAAUACACGGUAACAGCUAGUGUUUUUUUUUUCUCUCUCUCUCUUUUAAUAAUUCUAAACGAUUAGGCCUAUUUUGUCUAAUACUAUAAUAUUUUUGUAUACAGAUUUUUGCAAUUCUUUUACCGACGCGUAUAAAUUUAUAUGAUAUAUAUGAGAGAUGAGAGAGGACAUUUGGAGCUAGGGACUCAAUGGAAUAUCUAUGUUGGAAAUUCUGCUUAUUUUCGGAAUGCUUAUACUUUGUUGCGUUUCUACAGACUUGGUCUCUUUCUUUGAAUAAUUCGUGUAACGUGCUGUAGAUUUGUGUGUGUGCUAAUAAAUCAUCCGCGACAGGAGAUUACCUUA
Molecule: unclassified non-coding RNA, 5966 nt
Filed under: Daphnia pulex (common water flea)
Lineage: Eukaryota; Metazoa; Arthropoda; Branchiopoda; Diplostraca; Daphniidae
Description: diacylglycerol lipase-alpha-like, transcript variant X6
Source: RNAcentral